RNAcentral lists this ribosomal RNA (855 nucleotides) under Lulesia colorata. RNAcentral describes it as "Clitocella colorata partial large subunit ribosomal RNA". It matches the Rfam family "Eukaryotic large subunit ribosomal RNA", at positions 39 to 879 of the family's 3401-position model. The record is from RNAcentral. Lineage: Eukaryota; Fungi; Basidiomycota; Agaricomycetes; Agaricales; Entolomataceae.
CAUAUCAAUAAGCGGAGGAAAAGAAACUAACAAGGAUUCCCCUAGUAACUGCGAGUGAAGCGGGAAAAGCUCAAAUUUAAAAUCUGGUAGUCUUUGGCUGCCCGAGUUGUAAUCUAGAGAAGCGUUAUCCGCGCUGGACCGUGUAUAAGUCUCCUGGAAUGGAGCGUCGUAGAGGGUGAGAAUCCCGUCUUUGACACGGACUACCAGGGCUUUGUGAUGCGCUCUCGAAGAGUCGAGUUGUUUGGGAAUGCAGCUCUAAAUGGGUGGUAAAUUCCAUCUAAAGCUAAAUAUUGGCGAGAGACCGAUAGCGAACAAGUACCGUGAGGGAAAGAUGAAAAGAACUUUGGAAAGAGAGUUAAACAGUACGUGAAAUUGUUGAAAGGGAAACGCUUGAAGUCAGUCGCGUUUGCCAGGAAUCAGCCUCGCUUUUGCUUGGUGUAUUUCCUGGUUUAACGGGUCAGCAUCAAUUUUGACCGGUGGAAAAAGGUCAGGGGAAUGUGGCAUCUUCGGAUGUGUUAUAGCCCCUGGUUGUAUACAUCGGUUGGGAUUGAGGAACUCAGCACGCCGUAAGGUCGGGUUUUUAACCACGUUCGUGCUUAGGAUGCUGGCAUAAUGGCUUUAAUCGACCCGUCUUGAAACACGGACCAAGGAGUCUAACAUGCCUGCGAGUGUUUGGGUGGAAAACCCGAGCGCGUAAUGAAAGUGAAAGUUGAGAUCCCUGUCGUGGGGAGCAUCGACGCCCGGACCAGACCUUUUGUGACGGAUCCGCGGUAGAGCAUGUAUGUUGGGACCCGAAAGAUGGUGAACUAUGCCUGAAUAGGGUGAAGCCAGAGGAAACUCUGGUGGAGGCUCGUA